GUGCCAGCCGCCGCGGUGAUACCGGCAGCCCGAGUGAUGGCCGAUCUUAUUGAGCCUAAAGCGUCCGUAGCUGGCUGCGCAAAUCCGUCGGGAAAUCCACUCGCCCAACGAGUGGGCGUCCGACGGAAACUGCACGGCUUGGGACCGGAAGGCGCGACGGGUACGUCCGGGGUAGGAGUGAAAUCCCGUAAUCCUGGACGGACCGCCGAUGGCGAAAGCACGUCGCGAGAACGGAUCCGACAGUGAGGGACGAAAGCCAGGGUCUCGAACCGGAUUAGAAACCCUGGUAGUCC
Molecule: ribosomal RNA, 293 nt
Filed under: uncultured bacterium
Lineage: Bacteria
Description: partial 16S ribosomal RNA
Rfam family: Archaeal small subunit ribosomal RNA
Source: RNAcentral